UAACCGUGAAACGCCGCAAAGG
Molecule: unclassified non-coding RNA, 22 nt
Filed under: Chlamydomonas reinhardtii
Lineage: Eukaryota; Viridiplantae; Chlorophyta; Chlorophyceae; Chlamydomonadales; Chlamydomonadaceae
Description: small RNA Cre_2126
Source: RNAcentral